GUUUCAGGAGCGUGGCUAUGGAGUCCGGCGUGGCAGCGGCAAUUCCUGGCCAAAGUGUGCCUUCACCAAAAGCAGAACUGGAAACAUCCUAAGUGGGCUGGUAACGAGGCUAGCUCUGUCAACUAGUUCAAGACCCCUGAGAGCUUUGGGCCUGAGGUUCCUCAGCUUCCAAGUGAAAGGCUUCGACUUGGCAUUCUGGGAGACAAUCUCUGUGACCAUCAGUUUCCUCAUCUGGAAAACUGGCAUCAUGAUAACUUUGAAGGUUUUAUUCUGGGCAUAUAUAUGUUUGGAGGUGUGUGUAUGUUUGGGGAACCUUUGAAUUUGGAAGUACCAAGAGACAAAACCUUGCUGUGUUGCCCAGGCUGGUAUCGAACUCCUGGCCUCAAGAAGAUCCUCCCACCUCGACCUCUCAAAGUGUUGGUAUUACAGACGUGAGCCACUGCGCCCUGCUGUGUUCUGUUCUUAUUGCCCAUGACAAUUAAAGUUAGCUCUAUCUCAUCUCCG
Molecule: non-coding RNA, 504 nt
Filed under: Pongo abelii (Sumatran orangutan)
Lineage: Eukaryota; Metazoa; Chordata; Mammalia; Primates; Hominidae
Source: RNAcentral